RNAcentral lists this transfer RNA (83 nucleotides) under Coniosporium apollinis. Its description in RNAcentral is "tRNA-Gln". It matches the Rfam family "tRNA". Rfam says of the family: Transfer RNA (tRNA) molecules are approximately 80 nucleotides in length. Their secondary structure includes four short double-helical elements and three loops (D, anti-codon, and T loops). Lineage: Eukaryota; Fungi; Ascomycota; Dothideomycetes. The record is from RNAcentral.
GGUCACGUAGUGUAGUGGUUAGCACUCGGGAUUUUGAUUACAUCAAACUUCCCGCGACCCCGGUUCGAUCCCGGGCGAGACCU